UUGAAGAGUUUGAUCAUGGCUCAGAUUGAACGCUGGCGGCAGGCCUAACACAUGCAAGUCGAACGGUAACAGGAAACAGCUUGCUGUUUCGCUGACGAGUGGCGGACGGGGGAGUAAUGUCUGGGAAACUGCCUGAUGGAGGGGGAUAACUACUGGAAACGGUAGCUAAUACCGCAUAACGUCGCAAGACCAAAGAGGGGGACCUUCGGGCCUCUUGCCAUCGGAUGUGCCCAGAUGGGAUUAGCUAGUAGGUGGGGUAACGGCUCACCUAGGCGACGAUCCCUAGCUGGUCUGAGAGGAUGACCAGCCACACUGGAACUGAGACACGGUCCAGACUCCUACGGGAGGCAGCAGUGGGGAAUAUUGCACAAUGGGCGCAAGCCUGAUGCAGCCAUGCCGCGUGUAUGAAGAAGGCCUUCGGGUUGUAAAGUACUUUCAGCGGGGAGGAAGGGAGUAAAGUUAAUACCUUUGCUCAUU
This 477-nucleotide ribosomal RNA is filed under the name Escherichia coli. RNAcentral describes it as "bacterial SSU rRNA". It matches the Rfam family "Bacterial small subunit ribosomal RNA", at positions 1 to 477 of the family's 1533-position model. Lineage: Bacteria; Pseudomonadati; Pseudomonadota; Gammaproteobacteria; Enterobacterales; Enterobacteriaceae. The record is from RNAcentral.